RNAcentral lists this ribosomal RNA (253 nucleotides) under uncultured bacterium. Its description in RNAcentral is "partial 16S ribosomal RNA". It matches the Rfam family "Bacterial small subunit ribosomal RNA", at positions 524 to 776 of the family's 1533-position model. The record is from RNAcentral.
UACGUAGGGUGCAAGCGUUGUUCGGAAUUACUGGGCGUAAAGGGCGCGUAGGCGGCUUUAUAAGUCGGGGGUGAAAGCCUGUGGCUCAACCACAGAAUUGCCUUCGAUACUGUAGAGCUUGAGACCGGAAGAGGUAAGUGGAACUGCGAGUGUAGAGGUGAAAUUCGUAGAUAUUCGCAAGAACACCAGUGGCGAAGGCGGCUUACUGGUCCGGUUCUGACGCUGAGGCGCGAAAGCGUGGGGAGCAAACAGG